GUCAAGCAGAGGGUCAGGAAGCAGGCAGUGGAGCGCCAAGAGUUCAUUGCAGAAGAGAUCAGGAAAUUGGAAGCAGCAGGCCUUGUCAGAGGAGUGCUCCAUCCCACGUGGUUGGCCAAUCCUGUAGUCGUGCGCAAGGCGAGCGGGAAGUGGAGGCUUUGUAUAGACUUCACUGAUGUCAAUAAAGCUUGUCCCAAAGAUCCAUUUCCCUUGCCGCGCAUUGACCAGAUUGUUGACUCCACAGCUGGAUGUGAUUUGCUUUCAUUUCUUGAUGCGUAUUCUGGAUACCAUCAAAUCUUCAUGGCAGAAGAGGAUGAGGAGAAAACCGCAUUUAUCACCCCUUGUGGCACAUACUGUUUUGUACGGAUGCCCUUUGGGUUGAAGAAUGCUGGUUCAACAUUUGCAAGAGUAGUCCAUGUCGCUUUUGAGCCACAGAUACACAGAAAUGUG
This 450-nucleotide ribosomal RNA is filed under the name Triticum aestivum (bread wheat). Its description in RNAcentral is "partial small subunit ribosomal RNA". Lineage: Eukaryota; Viridiplantae; Streptophyta; Magnoliopsida; Poales; Poaceae. The record is from RNAcentral.